CUACGGAGGGUGCAAGCGUUACUCGGAAUCACUGGGCGUAAAGCGCGCGCAGGCGGCCAUUUAAGUUGGAUGUGAAAGCCUACGGCUCAACCGUAGAACUGCAUCCAAAACUAUUUGGCUAGAGUGUGGGAGAGGAAGAUGGAAUUAGUUGUGUAGGGGUAAAAUCCGUAGAGAUAACUAGGAAUACCAAAAGCGAAGGCAAUCUUCUGGAACACUACUGACGCUGAGGCGCGAAAGCGUGGGGAGCAAACGGGAUUAGAAACCCGAGUAGUCC
Molecule: ribosomal RNA, 274 nt
Filed under: uncultured bacterium
Lineage: Bacteria
Description: partial 16S ribosomal RNA
Rfam family: Bacterial small subunit ribosomal RNA
Source: RNAcentral